This 425-nucleotide ribosomal RNA is filed under the name uncultured bacterium. RNAcentral's name for it is "bacterial SSU rRNA". It matches the Rfam family "Bacterial small subunit ribosomal RNA", at positions 355 to 775 of the family's 1533-position model. The record is from RNAcentral.
UCGGGAAUUUUGGGCAAUGGGCGCAAGCCUGACCCAGCAACGCCGCGUGAAGGACGAAGUUUUUCGGAAUGUAAACUUCACAAGAAUGGGAAGAAUAAGAAAGAGCUAAUAUCUCUUUCGAUGACGGUACCAUUUGUAAGCUCCGGCUAACUCCGUGCCAGCAGCCGCGGUAAUACGGGGGGAGCAAGCGUUGUUCGGAUUUACUGGGCGUAAAGGGCGCGUAGGCGGCACGACAAGUCGCUUGUGAAAUCUCCGGGCUUAACUCGGAGCGGCCAAGCGAUACUGUCGCGCUAGAGUGCGGAAGGGGCAACUGGAAUUCUCGGUGUAGCGGUGAAAUGCGUAGAUAUCGAGAGGAACACCUGCGGCGAAGGCGGGUUGCUGGGCCGACACUGACGCUGAGGCGCGAAAGCUAGGGGAGCGAACGG